UGCGCGGCUCUCCAAACACUCAGCCGCGUACAGCUUUAAUAAGGAGGAAAAAUGCAAGCCCCGGCUCGGGCUGCGGCAGCGUUGGAGACCUGUCGUAAGGCGGCGCACCGUUUACCGGUGGUCGCGAGGGCGUUUCAUGCGGAGGCAGAACGCUCGGAGCUGAGAAACAUGGCA
Molecule: non-coding RNA, 174 nt
Filed under: bovine gut metagenome
Description: malK-I RNA
Rfam family: malK-I RNA
Source: RNAcentral